RNAcentral lists this ribosomal RNA (461 nucleotides) under uncultured Acidobacteriaceae bacterium. Its description in RNAcentral is "bacterial SSU rRNA". It matches the Rfam family "Bacterial small subunit ribosomal RNA", at positions 8 to 481 of the family's 1533-position model. The record is from RNAcentral. Lineage: Bacteria; Pseudomonadati; Acidobacteriota; Terriglobia; Terriglobales; Acidobacteriaceae.
AGAGUUUGAUCCUGGCUCAGAAUCAACGCUGGCGGCGUGCCUCAGACAUGCAAGUCGAACGAUUAAAGCUCUCUUCGGAGAGUGUAUAGAGUGGCGCACGGGUGAGUAACACGUAAGUAAUCUACCCUCGAGUGGGGAAUAACGUCCGGAAACGGACGCUAAUACCGCAUAAUGCAGCGGCACCGCAAGGUGACAGUUGUUAAAGAUUUAUCGCUUGAGGAGGAGCUUGCGGCAGAUUAGCUAGUUGGUAAGGUAAUGGCUUACCAAGGCUACGAUCUGUAACCGGUCUAAGAGGACGGUCGGUCACACUGACACUGAAUAACGGGUCAGACUCCUACGGGAGGCAGCAGUCGGGAAUUUUGGGCAAUGGGCGAAAGCCUGACCCAGCAGCGCCGCGUGAAGGAUGAAGUAUUUCGGUAUGUAAACUUCGAAAGAAUGGGAAGAAUCAAUGACGGUACCAU